Apis dorsata (giant honeybee) is the source of this 487-nucleotide long non-coding RNA. RefSeq lists it as uncharacterized. Lineage: Eukaryota; Metazoa; Arthropoda; Insecta; Hymenoptera; Apidae. The record is from RefSeq and is a predicted model, not a curated record. The transcript has 2 exons.
GUUUUAAGAAAAACUUACUAUUGGAGUGAUCUUCAAAUUUGGUUAUAAUUUAAAGAAAAGUUAUUAUUGAAGAUCGAAUUAAGAUCGAUUUUUUGGUAGAAAAUCGAAGAUCAGUAUAUUUGACCAAAGAACGAGAAAGAGACAUCGGAAGAUGUGGAUGGAGAGACAUGGAGGAGUAGUCGAAAGAGAGGCAGCUCGGUUCAAUUUGACGAGGUGUAGGUAAACAGGGGAGAUCCGGCAAGUUUGUUUGGCUGUGGAGGCAACUACGGCAACGUCCUUUAAUUUACGUUAGCACGUAACAUCAGUGUAACCAGGGUUCAGAGUAUCGGUUCUCUUCGCGAACUUAGUGACGACGAAUGGCGUAUACGCGUUCGCCAUCGCCUUUAACCGUGCUUCGCGACUCGUGAUUUAACGCUGUCUGCGUAAACAAAAGGGGUGCCCUUUACAAAUAGUUAUCGUUUCUGUCUGUUAUUGGAGGUGCAAAGGG